Molecule: unclassified non-coding RNA, 522 nt
Filed under: Hevea brasiliensis (rubber tree)
Lineage: Eukaryota; Viridiplantae; Streptophyta; Magnoliopsida; Malpighiales; Euphorbiaceae
Source: RNAcentral
UUGAAGAAUAACAAGCUCAAGGUUCGUUUCAAAAAGGUUAGUGCUAUAUUUUCCCUCUCACUCUUUUUAAUUUUGUUAGAAUAUCAAUUUAAGUUAAGAAAUUACAAAAAUUUGAAGUAAAUUAUACAUGUUAGAGUAUCUUUAAUUUUCGGCAGCCAUGAACUUUCUUGAGGUUGAUGGCUUGAAUGGAAUUAAAAUCCAUGGAUGUCCCUUGAUGUGUAUAAGUGAAUUAAAAACCUUAAUGGCAUGUAUAUUGUAAGAUUUGAGAACUUAGGAAUUAGGGUUUUGAGGGAAAUUUGAGUUUCACUUAUGUAAUGGUGAAUGAACAUUUUAAGGGUCAAUUAGUGACCAUUUGAGGUAAGUUGACCAUAAUUAGGAGUGAAUUAUUGCAUGGCAAAGUGGAAUGGGCAGGCUGCCCAAUGAGUGCAGUAGGGUGGCUGAGAUUUCAGUCCACUUGGACUGCCAUAUCUUUGGCUGUGUAGGUCCAAUUGGUGUUUUGCCAAUUGGACAUGAAACUAGACU